RNAcentral lists this transfer RNA (73 nucleotides) under Bos taurus (domestic cattle). It matches the Rfam family "tRNA". From Rfam's summary of the family: Transfer RNA (tRNA) molecules are approximately 80 nucleotides in length. Their secondary structure includes four short double-helical elements and three loops (D, anti-codon, and T loops). The record is from Rfam by way of RNAcentral. RNAcentral also lists the same sequence under 2 other names. Lineage: Eukaryota; Metazoa; Chordata; Mammalia; Artiodactyla; Bovidae.
UUCCUGGUGGUCCACGGGUUAGGACUCAGCGCUUUCACUGCUGAGGGCCCAGGUUCGAUCCCUGGUUGAGGAA